AUGAAACACAAAGAACUGUACGUGGCUGAACUCCUGAAGUCAGCAGGGACAUGCCAGGGUGGAUGUUAGCUUGAAAGACUGGCUUCGCAGUGUCUCCUCUGACUGACUACGAGGAAGUCUGUGCCUGGAUGUGAAAAGCAGGACCCGUGCUCAGGUGAGCCUGUGCUGCGGCGAUGAACCAGGGUCCAAUCCAGCAGAGGUAUGCAGAGAUGAUUGCGAAGUCCUGAGCAGCCUCAUCUCUUGCGGAGGCCCUGCGCGCUCCUGUGACAUGCUCAGCAUUGCUGCUGCACUCAGCUUCACCCCACGCACAGCUGUCUUGACCCUGCUGCCAUCUGAUGCUGCUUUUCAAAUUGCUAAAGUCAAAUUAGGAGCGCCUGGUGAGCACGUGCAGAGCCACAGGGAGUGCUGGGGUCCGUGGGAACCUGAGCCUGGCAGUGCUGUCGCUAGCUGGGAAGCUCUCCCUUCCUCUGGCUCCAGAGGCAUCCUCCAAAACCACAGAGAUCCCAAACACAACAGAAGGAGGGAACAAAGGGAGAUACAGUGUGGACGGAGGCAAGAGAAGGAAUGUUUUCCCUGGGAAUAG
This 583-nucleotide long non-coding RNA is filed under the name Apteryx owenii (little spotted kiwi). Its description in RNAcentral is "lncRNA (ENSAOWG00000017627.1)". Lineage: Eukaryota; Metazoa; Chordata; Aves; Apterygiformes; Apterygidae. The record is from RNAcentral.